Molecule: ribosomal RNA, 548 nt
Filed under: uncultured bacterium
Lineage: Bacteria
Description: bacterial SSU rRNA
Rfam family: Archaeal small subunit ribosomal RNA
Source: RNAcentral
AAUAGAUACCCUGGUAGUCCUAGCCGUAAACGAUACUCGCUAGGUGUCGGCCACGGUGCGACCGUUGUCGGUGCCGUAGGGAAGCCGUGAAGCGAGCCACCUGGGAAGUACGGCCGCAAGGCUGAAACUUAAAGGAAUUGGCGGGGGAGCACCACAACGGGUGGAGCUUGCGGUUUAAUUGGAUUCAACGCCGGAAAUCUUACCGGGACCGACAGCAAUAUGAAGGCCAGGCUGAAGACUUUGCCGGAUUAGCUGAGAGGUGGUGCAUGGCCGUCGUCAGUUCGUACUGUGAAGCAUCCUGUUAAGUCAGGCAACGAGCGAGACCCACGCCCACAGUUGCCAGCGUACUCUCUGGAGUGACGGGUACACUGUGGGGACCGCCGCUGCUAAAGCGGAGGAAGGAAUGGGCAACGGUAGGUCAGUAUGCCCCGAAUAUCCCGGGCUACACGCGAGCUACAAUGGUUGGUACAAUGGGUAUCUACCCCGAAGGGGACGGGAAUCUCCUAAAACCAAUCUUAGUUCGGAUUGAGGGCUGCAACUCGCCCUCA